This 461-nucleotide ribosomal RNA is filed under the name uncultured bacterium. RNAcentral's name for it is "bacterial SSU rRNA". It matches the Rfam family "Bacterial small subunit ribosomal RNA", at positions 63 to 504 of the family's 1533-position model. The record is from RNAcentral.
CCUUCGUCCCUUUUUUUUGGGGGUGGGGUUAGUGGCGAACGGGUGAGUAACACGUGAGUAACCUGCCCCUCACUUCUGGAUAACCGCUUGAAAGGGUGGCUAAUACGGGGUGUUCUGGCCUGCUCGCAUGGGUGGGUUUGGAAAGAUUCGACCGGUUUUGGUUGUUUUGGUGGGGGAUGGGCUCGCGGCCUAUCAGCUUGUUGGUGGGGUGAUGGCCUGCCAAGGCUUUGACGGGUAGCCGGCCUGAGAGGGUGGGCGGUCACACUGGGACUGAGACACGGCCCAGACUCCUACGGGAGGCAGCAGUGGGGAAUAUUGCACAAUGGGCGCAAGCCUGAUGCAGCGACGCCGCGUGAGGGAUGGAGGCCUUCGGGUUGUGAACCUCUUUCGCCAGUGAAGAAGGUCCUGCUCUUUGUGGUGGGGUUGACGGUAGCUGGGUUAAUGAAGCGCCGGCUAACUAC